Molecule: long non-coding RNA, 1212 nt
Filed under: Homo sapiens (human)
Lineage: Eukaryota; Metazoa; Chordata; Mammalia; Primates; Hominidae
Description: HSALNT0353363
Source: RNAcentral
CUAAAUACUCUACCCAAUGCUAGGUGAAUUACAUUUUUUUGUAGUUUAAUGGUGAGUACAGGCACCAUUACCUGCCUUAUGUGAGUUCCAGACACUGCUCCUUCCAAGUCUUUAGGGAAGUUCUUUCCCCAACUUUGGGCAGUUUCUUCACAAACAUGCUCUGAUUACUGCUCUGUUGAAUAAAUAAAGGAAAAUCUCUACAGAUCUCUGUGUGCAGAUGCCCUCUCUAGUAUGCUUCCCAGUAAACUCCAGCCACUUUCAUCUAUUCAGAUUUUUAGCUUUGACUCCUCAACUUGGUGACUCUACUGUGAUCUCCAACCCCAGGUCAUGGCCUGGAAUCUCUUGUAAGGCAGAACUGUGAAACAACCCUGCCUUACCUGAUUUAUUUUCUUUUCUCUCAUAGAUCACUGUGUUUCAUUGCUGAUGUCCAGUGUAUUGAAAACCAUUAUUUCACAUAUUUUUUUCUGUUUUGUUUGCUUCAGGUUGAUCCUGAGAUCUUGUUCCCGAUCUUCCAUUUUUGCAAAGACUGAAGGUUCAAUCUAUUUUUUAGACCAUUAUUUUUGUUCUGUCAUACCUCAGAUUAAAGAUUUUGGGCUUGAUUUCUUGGUCAGAGAGAGCUAUUGAAGGUUCGUGAGCAGGCAAAGGCCACAUAACUCUGUGUCAUUGGCUCAAGCUGACCAAGUCAUACAUCAUGUGACCUGCACCCAACUAUAGGGAGCUGCUGCAUUUGUUUCAUUCCUUCUUCAUGGCAAAAGUCCUAGGUAGAGCCCAACGUGCUGCCAUGAGCUGUGGGAGGUACUGUGAUGAAUAUAACUUCAAGGAAUUCAGGAGUUGGUGGAGGAGCUUUACAAGUCAAAACAUCCAAUAAUGACUUGUUUUCACUGAAUUUACCUGAAUGCUCUGUUAAGUUAUGGAGACCUGUCUCCUGUGAUUCAUUAGAUAGAAGCACUAUGGAUAAUAAGACUCUCAAAAUACUGUUCUCAUUGAUAUCGAAUCUGUCUUGAUGAACUGCAGCAAUUGAGAAAGAUCCCUUUGCCCAGCCUUUACCAAUCUCCCUGCCCUUGAUUUAGCAGGACUUGAAUCACAGCAGAACUGGAAAUAAAGUCAAUACUAUACAUAUAAAAGAAAGUGUUGGUCAAUUGCUUUCUCUAUGAUAUUCUAGUAAUUUAAUUGUACUUUCAGGUUAGAAAAGUAAAAUAAAACAAUUCUAAG